GAACGCGCGGCUGCGGCUGGAGAAUCGCCGCCUGCGCCGCGAGAACCGCUGCCUCUUCCGACAGGCCCUGCUGGGGCCCGGCCCUGACAAGCCCCCCGCCGACCCGGGCGAGGAGGCGGAGGCCCUGCGCGCCCAGCUGGGGCGGCUGCAGGAGAAGCACCGCCGGGCCUUGCGGCACCUGAGGCGCUGCCGGGCCGCAGGCGGGCCCGAGGCCUCGGGAGACGAGGACGGGGAGUUGGACGAGCUGCUGCUGGAGGAGGACGAGCAGCCGCUGGAUAAGAAGAGCCUGGUGUCGGCCGUGUAGGCGGCCCCGGUGGAGGGGGCGGCGCCGGCCGGCGCUGCGGGCCCACCCCGCCGCCACGGGACGUAUACCCGGGAGGCACUGACCGUGACCGAGGGGAACCAGGCUCAUGUGGGAAGCUGAGGCUUAGAGCACGAGUGGAAUUUCUCACAGCGGCUGUUGUGGAGAAGAGAACCGGGGUGAACAGAACACUUUAUCUCGUGUUAUCCCACAGCAUUGAACUCUGCUUCCUCUGGAGCUGUGGAUCACCUUUUUUCACCUUUCACCUUUCUCAACUGUCAUUCAGGCUUCAGGAGCCAUGGAGACUGACUAGUUCUUAGUAGUUGGUGUAUGUUAGGAAGAAGAGUGGAGGAAGCUUGAAAGCUUUUGUCAGUGCUCCAAUAAAAAUUGGUAAUCUUUGAACAAUGAAUUGCCUUGGACACUUACUGCAGAACAUUAUUUGUAUUUUUAAUGAUGGCCUUCGUUCACUCACAUGGAUCCUGAUUUGAAUUUCACAUUUCUACACGAAAUUGCAGCUAUCAAAUAAACUUAUGAGAUACACCAAA
This is a long non-coding RNA of Parus major (Great Tit), 846 nucleotides long. RefSeq lists it as uncharacterized. The transcript is spliced from 2 exons. Lineage: Eukaryota; Metazoa; Chordata; Aves; Passeriformes; Paridae. The record is from RefSeq and is a predicted model, not a curated record.